AGAGUUUGAUCAUGGCUCAGGAUGAACGCUGGCGGUAUGCCUAACACAUGCAAGUCGAACGAUGUCUUCGGACAUAGUGGCGGACGGGUGAGUAACGCGUGAGAAUCUGCCUCUAGGAUGGGGAUAACGGUUGGAAACGACCGCUAACACCCAAUAUGCCGUAAGGUGAAAAAUUUAUUGCCUGGAGAGGAGCUCGCGUCUGAUUAGCUAGUUGGUGGGGUAAGAGCUCACCAAGGCUUCGAUCAGUAGCUGGUCUGAGAGGAUGAGCAGCCACACUGGGACUGAGACACGGCCCAGACUCCUACGGGAGGCAGCAGUGGGGAAUUUUCCGCAAUGGGCGAAAGCCUGACGGAGCAAUACCGCGUGAGGGAGGAAUGCCUUUGGGUUGUAAACCUCUUUUCUCAGGGAAGAAGAUCUGACGGUACCUGAGGAAUAAGUAUCGGCUAACUCCGUGCCAGCAGCCGCGGUAAUACGGAGGAUGCAAGCGUUAUCCGGAAUCAUUGGGCGUAAAGCGUCCGCAGGUGGUUUCCAAAGUCUGCUGUUAAAGACUGGAGCUCAACUCCGGAACGGCGGUGGAAACUUGGAAACUAGAGUUCGGUAGGGGUAGCAGGAAUUCCCAGUGUAGCGGUGAAAUGCGUAGAUAUUGGGAAGAACAUCGGUGGCGAAGGCGUGCUACUGGACCGUAACUGACACUCAGGGACGAAAGCUAGGGGAGCGAAAGGGAUUAGAUACCCCUGUAGUCCUAGCUGUAAACGAUGGAAACUAGGUGUGGCUUGUAUCGACCCGAGCCGUGCCGUAGCU
Molecule: ribosomal RNA, 801 nt
Filed under: uncultured marine microorganism
Description: bacterial SSU rRNA
Rfam family: Bacterial small subunit ribosomal RNA
Source: RNAcentral